ACGCUGGCGGCAGGCCUAACACAUGCAAGUCGAGCGGUAGAGAGAAGCUUGCUUCUCUUGAGAGCGGCGGACGGGUGAGUAAUGCCUAGGAAUCUGCCUGGUAGUGGGGGAUAACGUUCGGAAACGGACGCUAAUACCGCAUACGUCCUACGGGAGAAAGCAGGGGACCUUCGGGCCUUGCGCUAUCAGAUGAGCCUAGGUCGGAUUAGCUAGUUGGUGAGGUAAUGGCUCACCAAGGCGACGAUCCGUAACUGGUCUGAGAGGAUGAUCAGUCACACUGGAACUGAGACACGGUCCAGACUCCUACGGGAGGCAGCAGUGGGGAAUAUUGGACAAUGGGCGAAAGCCUGAUCCAGCCAUGCCGCGUGUGUGAAGAAGGUCUUCGGAUUGUAAAGCACUUUAAGUUGGGAGGAAGGGUUGUAGAUUAAUACUCUGCAAUUUUGACGUUACCGACAGAAUAAGCACCGGCUAACUCUGUGCCAGCAGCCGCGGUAAUACAGAGGGUGCAAGCGUUAAUCGGAAUUACUGGGCGUAAAGCGCGCGUAGGUGGUUUGUUAAGUUGGAUGUGAAAUCCCCGGGCUCAACCUGGGAACUGCGUUCAAAACUGACUGACUAGAGUAUGGUAGAGGGUGGUGGAAUUUCCUGUGUAGCGGUGAAAUGCGUAGAUAUAGGAAGGAACACCAGUGGCGAAGGCGACCACCUGGACUAAUACUGACACUGAGGUGCGAAAGCGUGGGGAGCAAAC
This 745-nucleotide ribosomal RNA is filed under the name uncultured bacterium. Its description in RNAcentral is "bacterial SSU rRNA". It matches the Rfam family "Bacterial small subunit ribosomal RNA", at positions 33 to 773 of the family's 1533-position model. The record is from RNAcentral.